CUGGGUGUAGCGCAGUUGGCUAGCGCGCCACUUUGGGGUAGUGGAGGUCGAGUGUUCAAGUCACUUCACUCAGACCA
This 77-nucleotide transfer RNA is filed under the name Clostridia bacterium. RNAcentral describes it as "tRNA-Pro". Lineage: Bacteria; Bacillati; Bacillota; Clostridia. The record is from RNAcentral.